UGGGGGAUAUUGCACAAUGGGCGAAAGCCUGAUGCAGCGACGCCGCGUGGGGGAUGAAGGCUUUCGGGUUGUAAACCUCUUUCGCUAUCGAACAAGGCCCGCUUAGGGUGGGUUGAGGGUAGGUGGAGAAGAAGCGCCGGCUAACUACGUGCCAGCAGCCGCGGUAAUACGUAGGGCGCGAGCGUUGUCCGGAAUUAUUGGGCGUAAAGGGCUUGUAGGCGGCUUGUUGCGCCUGCUGUGAAAACGCGGGGCUUAACUUCGCGCGUGCAGUGGGUACGGGCAGGCUUGAGUGUGGUAGGGGUGACUGGAAUUCCAGGUGUAGCGGUGGAAUGCGCAGAUAUCUGGAGGAACACCGAUGGCGAAGGCAGAUCACUGGGCCAUUACUGACGCUGAGGAGCGAAAGCAUGGGUAGCGAACAGG
This 420-nucleotide ribosomal RNA is filed under the name bacterium. RNAcentral describes it as "partial 16S ribosomal RNA". It matches the Rfam family "Bacterial small subunit ribosomal RNA", at positions 355 to 776 of the family's 1533-position model. The record is from RNAcentral. RNAcentral also lists the same sequence under 1 other name.